ACUCCUACGGGAGGCAGCAGUGGGGAAUAUUGGACAAUGGGCGCAAGCCUGAUCCAGCCAUGCCGCAUGUGUGAAGAAGGCCUUCGGGUUGUAAAGCACUUUCAGCGAGGAAGAACGCCUAGUGGUUAAUACCCAUUAGGAAAGACAUCACUCGCAGAAGAAGCACCGGCUAACUCCGUGCCAGCAGCCGCGGUAAUA
Molecule: ribosomal RNA, 198 nt
Filed under: uncultured soil bacterium
Lineage: Bacteria
Description: partial 16S ribosomal RNA
Rfam family: Bacterial small subunit ribosomal RNA
Source: RNAcentral